AGUUAGCCUUGGCCGUUUAUCGGUUUCCUGUGUUGUAUACCUACUAUAAUGGAAUUCGAAUGUGCAAUAUUUUGUUAUUCGCCUUGUGCUGUCCCAUUGGUUGUCCCUUUGGGGUGCGGUGUCGGGUGAACCUCGAAGCGAUCUUCAUGUUCUUCGUCGCCCACGAAAUGUGUUGUCGGCGCGGCCCAUGAAGAUUGCUUGAGCUCUCGGAUGUGGAAUAUGCAGAGGGCAGUAGGCCUACAGCCUCUCUUUGCCCGAAUUAAGCGUUUAUUCGCUCAUUACCGAACGACGGCCUGUGGUGCCUUGAUGUGUUGGARCCCUCAGGUUUUGGCAUUCAUCAUGCAUCCCUGGCGUCAAUAAGGAAUGCUACCUGGUUGAUCCUGCCA
RNAcentral lists this unclassified non-coding RNA (386 nucleotides) under Scolosanthus densiflorus. RNAcentral's name for it is "partial external transcribed spacer". Lineage: Eukaryota; Viridiplantae; Streptophyta; Magnoliopsida; Gentianales; Rubiaceae. The record is from RNAcentral.